RNAcentral lists this ribosomal RNA (301 nucleotides) under uncultured bacterium. RNAcentral describes it as "partial 16S ribosomal RNA". It matches the Rfam family "Bacterial small subunit ribosomal RNA", at positions 509 to 807 of the family's 1533-position model. The record is from RNAcentral.
CAGCCGCCGCGGUAAUACAGAGGAUGCAAGCGUUAUCCGGAAUGAUUGGGCGUAAAGCGUCUGUAGGUGGCUUUUCAAGUCCGCCGUCAAAUCCCAGGGCUCAACCCUGGACAGGCGGUGGAAACUACCAAGCUGGAGUACGGUAGGGGCAGAGGGAAUUUCCGGUGGAGCGGUGAAAUGCGUAGAGAUGUGGAGGAACACCAGUGGCGAAGGCGACUCUCUGGUCUGUAACUGACGCUGAGGAGCGAAAGCGUGGGGAGCGAACAGGAUUAGAUACCCCAGUAGUCCCUGUCUCUUAUAC